GAAGACCAAAUCUCAUAAAGCUUCACCAAACAAGAAAAGAUAAAAUAUACAGAUAUCCUACUUUUGUCACUCAAGAAGUGAAGACUUAUCAUUUUAUGUUUAUUUUCCUUUCGGAGAACUACAGUCCAUCUGGAAUUGAUUUUUGUGUAUUGUUGAGUACAUAGUUGCAUAUUUUAGUUGUUGGUCCUUCUAACUGUGGCAUGUGGGACUCUGCGUCAGCAUGGCCCGAUGAGCAGUGUCAUGUCUGCACCCAGGAUCCAACCCGGUGAAACCCUGGGCCGCCGAAGCGGAGCACGUGAACUUAACCACUCGGCCAUGGGGCCAGCCCCAGACUGUUUUCUAAAUAUCAUUUCGGAUCGUUUAUUGCUAAUGUAUGGAAAUAUAAUUGAUUUUUGUAUAUUGAUCUUGUAUACUUCAGUCUUUCCC
RNAcentral lists this long non-coding RNA (426 nucleotides) under Equus caballus (horse). Its description in RNAcentral is "lncRNA (ENSECAG00000049031.1)". Lineage: Eukaryota; Metazoa; Chordata; Mammalia; Perissodactyla; Equidae. The record is from RNAcentral.